CAGAGGUGUGUCUGUGUGUCUCUCUGACAGGAAGCAGAGGUGUGGCUGUGUGUCUCUCUGAUAGGAAGCAGAGGUGUGGCUGUGUGUCUCUCCUACAGGAAGCAGAGGUGUGGCUGUGUGUCUCUCUGAUAGGAAGCAGAGGUGUGGC
Molecule: long non-coding RNA, 148 nt
Organism: Brienomyrus brachyistius
Lineage: Eukaryota; Metazoa; Chordata; Actinopteri; Osteoglossiformes; Mormyridae
Exons: 3
Source: RefSeq, a predicted model, not a curated record